GAUGAACGCUGGCGGCGUGCCUAAUACAUGCAAGUCGAGCGAACAGACGAGGAGCUUGCUCCUCUGACGUUAGCGGCGGACGGGUGAGUAACACGUGGAUAACCUACCUAUAAGACUGGGAUAACUUCGGGAAACCGGAGCUAAUACCGGAUAAUAUAUUGAACCGCAUGGUUCAAUAGUGAAAGACGGUUUUGCUGUCACUUAUAGAUGGAUCCGCGCCGCAUUGGCUAGUUGGUAAGGUAACGGCUUACCAAGGCGACGAUGCGUAGCCGACCUGAGAGGGUGAUCGGCCACACUGGAACUGAGACACGGUCCAGACUCCUACGGGAGGCAGCAGUAGGGAAUCUUCCGCAAUGGGCGAAAGCCUGACGGAGCAACGCCGCGUGAGUGAUGAAGGUCUUCGGAUCGUAAAACUCUGUUAUUAGGGAAGAACAAAUGUGUAAGUAACUAUGCACGUCUUGACGGUACCUAAUCAGAAAGCCACAGCUAACUACGUG
RNAcentral lists this ribosomal RNA (497 nucleotides) under uncultured bacterium. RNAcentral's name for it is "partial 16S ribosomal RNA". It matches the Rfam family "Bacterial small subunit ribosomal RNA", at positions 28 to 507 of the family's 1533-position model. The record is from RNAcentral.